UACGGGGGGGGCAAGCGUUGUUCGGAAUUACUGGGCGUAAAGGGCUCGUAGGCGGCCAACUAAGUCAGACGUGAAAUCCCUCGGCUUAACCGGGGAACUGCGUCUGAUACUGGAUGGCUAGAGUUUGGGAGAGGGGUGCGGAAUUCCAGGUGUAGCGGUGAAAUGCGUAGAUAUCUGGAGGAACACCGGUGGCGAAGGCGGCAUCCUGGACCAACACUGACGCUGAGGAGCGAAAGCCAGGGGAGCAAACGGG
This 253-nucleotide ribosomal RNA is filed under the name uncultured bacterium. RNAcentral's name for it is "partial 16S ribosomal RNA". It matches the Rfam family "Bacterial small subunit ribosomal RNA", at positions 524 to 776 of the family's 1533-position model. The record is from RNAcentral.